Molecule: long non-coding RNA, 271 nt
Organism: Cyprinus carpio carpio
Lineage: Eukaryota; Metazoa; Chordata; Actinopteri; Cypriniformes; Cyprinidae
Source: Ensembl
GAAGCAGAUGAUAUGAAUGUCUGUUUCCACACAUUCAGGUGGGAUGUACUCUGAGAGCCUGUGCUGGUUCCUCUGGGAAUAUGAAGUGUGUUUGUGUUUCUGCAGCUCGGUUUGCGUUCGGUGUGAUCUUCUAAACUCAGGGCUGUUUCUGUGUGUUAUCGUUUUCCUGCAGGCGCCUCCAUCCGUCCGUAACUUACUACUGUCCCCUGCUGGCCGUCCACAGCACUCUACAGGACCCCUGGCUCUGUGUGUGUGUGUGUGUGUGUGUUGA